Molecule: long non-coding RNA, 474 nt
Filed under: Solanum tuberosum (potato)
Lineage: Eukaryota; Viridiplantae; Streptophyta; Magnoliopsida; Solanales; Solanaceae
Description: long non-coding RNA (STUB_LNC005048)
Source: RNAcentral
GGUCAUGACAUUCCCGCCCGGAUCAAACAAUCCUUGACCCCAAGGAUGAUUAUCAAAAAUUUGUCCCGUCCAGGUUCAUUACAAUCCUUCCUGCUUGAAAUCAACAUUGUCCUCAAGGUUGUUGUCCACACCCGCAUAUCAAAAACCAAAAUCAUCAGAUUAUUUCUCGCUAGAAUUCCUAAGGUAAUAUGCCUAUUUGCUGUGAACACUUCUCUCGCAAAAGCUUCAAUUAAAGACUUGGAUUGAUUGACCUUUGCUAUCAUUGUGUCCCUUAUAUCACGAAGCAAAGAUAGGCUAGUACUUUUUCUCAGUAUUGUUUCCAUUUUAGUCUGCAGCUCCGCUAUUCUGUCAAAGAGCUUUUCAGCCUCUGUUGUAGAGAUGUGGAGCUGCUUUUGGAGGUCAACGCUUCCAAGACAACCCAGUGGAAUUUCAGUGCGACAUGGUGCAAAUAAGCCCACAAAUAUUUGACCCUCA